GUGAGGGUGGUGGAUCACUUCAUCAUCUCGCGAGAUCCCUGUGUCCUAGUCGUGUCCAGUCUACAGCAGGAAGAGCGUCCCCACGGUGGCUCUGCCUUCUCUGCUCUGAGAAGGGGAAGCUGGAGACCUCGCGAGCGGGAAGUGUUAUUCUGAACAAAGAAUCAACAUAUUUGACGUCGUAUAUUUUCAUAUACAAGCACACAAUAAAAUGGAGUUUUAUGGAUCAAAAUCUACAAGCAACACUGACCAAGAUGAUGUUUGUGUUUGUGAAGAUGAAAAUUAAGCCUUUCAUAGAACAGAAGGACUUUAGUUUUCUGCAAAACGAGUUUGCCUGAGAUUUUCUGGUUACACUCAAAUGGAAUUCCUCCACAAUUUGGCCAGUUAUGGGUGGAUGAAAUGAGAAAAAUCUGGUUCUCCUGUGGCUAACUCAAUAUCAGAUGUUGCAACAGCCUCUUUGCUUUGGGUUUUCUUGAGUUUUUUUUUGUGCAUUUCACUAUAUUUAAUGAAUUUUAUGAUGGUAUAUUGUGUUUCAAGCUGGAAAAUGGAAUUCAUGAAACUGAAUAAAUGAUCGUAAUCAGGGCACAGAAUUGGGCUUUCUGGAAUUCAAUGUUGGUUUUAUAGAUUUGGGCACAUCAGCGGAUAAUUCUUUUGUUAAUAUGCAAUUUUCUUUUUUUUUUUCUUUUUCUGAAUUUGUUGCUGUAUCUCUUUCUUUCGGUUUUUAUUCAAACCAAAAAAAAAAAAAAACAGAUUUGAUGUAGUAUCCAUUAUGAUAUACAAGCACACUGCAAACUGGGGUAUUAUGGAUCAAAAUUUACAGGCAACACUGACCAAGAUGAUGUUUGUGUUUAGAAGAGGAAAGUUAAGCCUUUGAUACGACAGAAGAAUUUUACUUUUCUGCAAAACAAGUUUGCCUGCGACUUUCUGGUUACAAAGAAUCGGAAUUCCUAAUGAAUUUUGCCAUUUAUCAUGGCUCAAAUGAGAAAAAUCUUGUUCUCCUGUGGCUUAUUCAAUAUCAGAUCUUGCAGCAGCCACUUGCUUUGGGCUCUCUAGCAUAUAUUUUGUGAAUUUCACUAUUUUUAAUGAAUAUAAGAUGUUACAUGUGUUUCAUGCUGGGUAACGGAAUUCAGGUAACUGGAUGAAUGGUCUUUUCAAAUCAGGGCACAUGAUUUGGCUUUCUGGAGUUCAAUGUUGGUUUUAUUGUUUUGGGCUCAUCAGACGAUUAUGCCAUUGUUCUUCAGCACAUCACUCUAGUUUUUCUGGUUUUUUAUUUGUUUCCUGCCGUAUCUCUUUCGUUCAUUUUUAUUCUCACCCAAAACAACAGUUGUGAUGUAGUACCCAUUAGAUAUACAGAAACACUACAAAUUGUGGUUUUAUGAUUCAAAAUCUACAGCCAGCAACGACCAAGAUGAUUUUUGUGUUUGUGGAAAUGAUAUUUAAGGCUUUUGUAGACCUGAGGGAUUUUAGUUUUUCUUUCUUUCUUUCUUUUUUUUUUUUGACAGGCAGAGUUAGACAGUGAGAGAGAGACAGAGAGAAAGCUCUUCCUUCCAUUAGUUCACUCCACUAAUGGCCACUACUAUGAGCACUGCACCAAUUGAAGCCAGGAGCCAGGUGCUUCCUCUUGGUCUCCAAUGCAGGUGCAGGGCCCAAGGACUUGGGUCAUCCUCCACUGCCUUCCCAGGCCACAGCAGAGAGCUGGACUAGAAGAGGAGCAACCAGGACAGAUUCCGGUGCCCAAACUGGGACUAGAACCCAGGGUGCUGGAGCUGUAGGUGGAAGAUUAGCCAAAUUAGCCAUGGCACCAGUGGAAUUUUAGUUUUUCCAAAACAAGUUUGCCUGUGAUUUUUUUUUGUUAAAAUCAAUAAGAAUUCUACAGCAAUUUGCCCUGUCAUAUGUGGAUUAAACCAGAAAAGUCUGGUUCUUUUGUGGCUGUGGCUGGGCUGAUCAGGAGCCCUGAGCCAGGAGCUUCUUCUAGGUUUCACAUAUGGGUGCAGGGGUACAAGUGCUUGAGCCAUCUUCUGCUGUUUUCUAGGCUAUUUGUAGGGAGCCAGGUCAGAGGUAGAAUGGCUGGGACUCAAACUACUGCCCAUAUGAGAUGCUGGCACUGCAGGCAGAAGUUUAACCUACUAUGCCACAGUGAUGGGACCAUAAUAUGUUUUAACUACCCAGUGUUGAUGUACACUUGAAUUGUGUCUAGUACAGGGUAAUGGCAAACAGACAGCCACUUGGAAUAUUGCUGUGCAAUCCUUUGAAGGAGUGGUUGUUUGGUUGUCUUGAUUAAGUGCCUGAAAGUGGGCCAAUUGUCCCAGCUGUCAAAUAUAGUAUAAGAGCUUCUCAGUGUCAUUUUCCUCCCAGCUUGCUCAUAAGACAUUCAGAUGAUCUCAGAGUAUGUGUAAGCCUACUUAAGGCAUAAGGUUUGUUCUGGUAGGCCGUGGAAUGAAAGGAAAUAAAAUAUUCAUUUAUUUAUUUAUUCAUUUUCAACCAUUUUUUUUCAGAUUAUUUUAAAGAUUUAUUUUAUUUGAAAGACAGAGUUACAGAGAGAGGUAGAGACAGAGAGGUCUUCCAUCUGCUGCUUCACUCCCCAGAUGGCUGCAACAGCUGGAGCUUUGCCAAUCUGAAGCCAGGAGUUAGGAGCUUCUUCUGGGUCUCCCACAUGGGUGCAGGGGCCCAAGGACUUGGACCAUCUUCCACUGCUUUCCCAGGCCAUAGCAGAGAGUUGGAUCAGAAGAGGAGCAGCUGGGACUAGAACUGGUGCCCAUAUGGGAUGCCAGUGCUUCAGGCCAGGGCUUUAACCUGCUGUGCCACAGUACCAGCUCCAACAUUAAUUUUAGAUGUGUAAUUAGUAUCACUUUUUAUAGCAGCAUUUUUAAAAUUUGAAAAUGUGUGCUGGCCAGUGCCGGGGCUCACUAGGCUAAUCCUCUGCCUUGUGGCACUGGCACACCGGGUUCUAGUCCCAUUCGGGUUGCCAGAUUCUGUCCUGGUUGCCCCUCUUCCAGGCCAGCUCUCUGCUGUGGCCAGGGAGUGCAGUGGAAGAUGGCCCAAGUGCUUGGGCCCUGCACCCGCAUGGGAGACCAGGAGAAGCACCGGGCUCCUGCCUUCAGAUCAGCACGGUACGCCAGCCACAGCACACCAGCCACGGUGGCUAUUGGAGGGUGAACCAAUGGCAAAAGGAAGACCUUUCUGUCUCUCUCUCAGUGUCCACUCUGCCUGUCUAAAAAAAAGAAAAAGAAAAAGAAAAAGAAAAUGUGUGCCAGUGAUUUACUUACAGUAUUAAAUAUAUGGUUACUAUAUAUGAGCUUAUUGAAGAGUACUUAUGUUAGUUUAUGGAAAUUCCAGUGGAAUUUACGUAUGAUUGUGUUUCCAUUCUCCAUCAACUAUUCACUUCUAACAUUGUAAUGUUAAGCAGCCGUGCACAAAUAAGAGCUCUAUAUACCUCAUUGUAGUAAACCAUCCCGUCCCAACACAAUCCAACACUGCUGUGUUUUUCAUGUUGAUAUGUUGAUAUGUUUAUGUUUUCAGCACUUUUUUUAUCAAACCAUUUCCCUGUAAAUCCUUCCAAUUCUGUGUGACAAGCACGAUUUAUUUCUAUUUAAAGCAAUAUUGAAAAUGAAGACAUGACAUGCUUAGUGCCUUCAACAUUGCUUUUGAGAACUGCUAACAUCUCUAGCACAACACCUGUAAUAAAUUCAAAUCACACCUUAAUAUAAGACAGCACAGCAUAUGAACAAUCAAAAUCUGAAAUCAACACAUAAUUUUGUCAAACUAGAAGCUGUAGCUAAUAUGUUUCCAUAUUUAUUUAUUUAUAUUCCACAUAAAAACACUAUAAAACUCAGGAUGACUUUAAAGAAUUUUUUCUGAAAAGUACAGUAAGCAAAUAUGAAAGCCUGAAAAUUAUUUCAGAAUUACUCCUCUUAUGGUUGGCAUUAAGAUGCAGCAGGUUAAGUGCCACUUGGGACACCACCAUCCUACAUCACAAUCCUGGUUUGAAUCCUAGUCCUCUGCAUUUCCAAUCUAGCUGCCUGCUAAUGCACUUGGGCAGGCAGAGGAUAUGGCCAAGGUACUCAGCCACUGAUAACCCAUGUGGGAAUCCUGAAUGAAGUUCCAGGCUCCUUAAUUCACCCUGGCCCAGUGCUGGCUGUUACAGUCAUUUUGGAAGCUGACCAGAAGGUGGAAGACCUUUCUGUCUCUCCCUUUCUAACACUCUGCCUUUCUGGUAGAUAGAUAGAUCUAUUUAAAAAUAAUUUUUAAAUUCUUCUCUUAGGAAGAAGUAAUUUUCAAAAUUAUUUGUUUGAAACAAAUAGAUCUGGUACAAUGUUACAAAAAUAAAAUACAACAUAUUAAUGAAAACUCAGAUUCGUUAUUGCCAUCUAUUUACAAAAUCAAAAAUCAGUCUGUGAAAAUCCAAACUUUACUCUCAAUAAAAAUGUAGAUGCAUGCUUAACUCACUUUUAGAUUAUAACUAAAGUAAAAUCUUAGAGAAAGAAAAAUCUCCCUAAAGUUUAAAGUUUAAAUGGUUCUACAAAUCUUAGCCGUCCUCACAAAUAGCUCAGAAACAACCCCUAAGAAAAGGAGAGGCUGAUGAGAGAUAGCAUAUUAGGCUUCUCAUUUCAGCAAGUUUUUCCUGUCCAUAUAUUGGCAUUCAAGUAUAGUUUCACUUGAAAAAAUAAAAUGGAUAUUUACAAGUCAAAUCAUCUGAUUUUCAUGUUAGAACUAGUGCACAAAAUGGUAUCUACCAAGGGCACUCAAAAGUUCUUUAUACAAAGAGAUGAUUGAUUGAGAUUGAUUCCUUCAAAGCUUUGAUUUUAUAGACUAUUUUGCAGAAAGUGAAUUUUCUGAAGUAUGAACUAUAUGCAUAUUAAUAUAACAGCAACACAUUCCAAAGUCAAAUAUGUUUUUAUACUCAUCUUUUGAAUGUAAUCCCUCACCUUGGUUUCUAUACAUUAGUAAGUAUUAAAAUUCUAAUUCUUUAUGUCUAGUUCCAUCUGUUAGAAUUAUCAGUGCAUUCAUUAAGUUUAUAAUAAAACAGUAGGUGCAGCUUGAUGAGUGCAUUCAUUUUUUAGAUUUACUUAUUUAAUUUGAAAGUCAGAGUUAGAGAGAUCAGGAGAGACACAGAGAGAAAUCUUCUGUCUGCUGGUUCACUUCCCAGAUGAUUAUAACUCCCAUCAUUGGACCAGGUGAAAGCCAGGAGCUGGAGCCUCAUCCAGCUACCCUGCAUGAGGGGCAGAGAAUCAAAUACUUGGUCCAUCUUCCACUGCUUUGCCCACACUGUUAUCAGGGAGCUGGAUCAGAGGUGAAGCACCUGGAACAGAAAGCGGUAUCUAUGUGGGAUGGUAAAAUCACAGGCAGCAGUUUUACCUGCUAUGCCACAAAGCUGGCCCCAAGUAUAUUCAGUUUCUUUCUAUUUAAAAAAAUUCAUUCUUUAGCAUGCUGUUUUUUUUGAUGGGUAGAUGGAUUUUUUUUUUUUUUGACAGGCAGAGUGGACAGUGAGAGAGAGACAGAGAGAAAGGUCUUCCUUUUCUGUUGGUUCAAUGGCCGCUGUGGCUGGCGCACCACGCUGAUCUGAAGCCAGGAGUCAGGUGCUUCUCCUGGUCUCCCAUGGGGUGCAGGGCCCAAGAACUUGGGCCAUCCUCCACUGCCUUCUCAGGCCACAGCAGAGAGCUGGACUGGAAGAGGGGCAACUGGGAAAGAAUCCGGUGCCUGACCAGGACUAGAACCUGGUGUGCCAGUGCUGCAGGUGGAGGAUUAGCAUAUUGAGCCAUGGCGCCAGCCUAUCAUGCUGUUUUGAGACUUGAUUUUUCUUAAGAGUUAUUUAUUAAUUUGAGAGGCUGAGUUACAGAGAGAAGGCAAGAGACUGAGAGGUCUUCCAUCCACUGAUUCACUCUCCAAAGGCUAUGAUGGCCAGAACUAGGCCAAUCUGAAGCCAGGAGCCAAGAACUUCUUCUGGGUCUCCAAUGUGGGUGCUGGGGUCCAAGCACUUGUGCCAACCUCCAUUGACUUUCCAGGCCUUGGACCAGAGAGCUGGAUUGGAAGAGGAGCAGCCAAGACAUGAGCCAGUGCCCAUAUGGGGAUGCUGGCAUCACAGGUGGAGAUUUAAUCUACUGUGCCAUAGUGCCAGACCCAUGUAUUGAAUUUCUAAAAUUUCAAACUUACAGUACUUAUUAAGCCUCAGAAAAUAUUAUUACAUUUUACUUUAUCAUCAAAAGCUAGAUAUGUUUGCUUUUCUAAUCAGAGUAUUUGAUUUGUUCAGUGUUACUAAUAUACAACAUAUUUUAAGGCAUAAUUUAAAUAUAUUUUCAAAUGUAUUUACCUGCCCAUGAAUAAUUGCAUAACUGUCAAACUACAGUUUUCACCUUAUUUCCAAAAAUGUUAUGAAUUUUUAAUGGAGUACUUUGAUGAAUUUGAAGAUACCAUGCUGAAUUUAAAUGAGAAUGAGAUACAAAAUCAGAGAAAUCAUGAUAUUUCUCAUCAUUAUUGCAACCCAUAGUAUAAUAUUCAACUCUUAUCAAAUUUGAUUAUUUUCUGUCUGUAAGUGGGAUAGUUGGCUCUGAGUUGAGGAGUUGAGGUUUGAGCUUGUACUACUGAAUAUAAAUGUGUGGAAUGGAUACCAUUUCAGGCUCAAGUGUUCAGAUGGCAUGGGAACUUCUAGCAUACUUAUAAGGUUUGAUUUUCCAACUGUUAACAUUUUCCAAUUGUAAUUGUUUCUCUCUAGUUAAGUUAAUAGUUAUGCUCCAUCAAAAUUUGUGAAAUACUGAAAUUCUAUGUUACCUUGACAGGAAUAGGAAUGCUGGGAGUUAUGUAACUCCACAAAAAUUAUUUUUACUAUAAAUAUAUUUGAAAUAUGCAGCCCUAUGCAUGUAUUGUCUAUUUGAAAUGGUUUUAUUCUGUUGUGUGUAUCUCACUAACUAACGUUAGUUUUAAAGAUAACAGUGCAACACAGGGCAUUAUUUUUGCUUUAUUCUCUAUCAUCUACACAUCAAAGUAAUGGUGAAGAAAGUCAGUAUUACUGUUCAGACACUGCUUUAUUUGUCUUCAGAGAAGUUAUCAAAGUGCUCUGGAGGUUUCUCUCUAUUUAAGAAAGGAAAAACAAUUUAUAAACUAUUAUAUUUAUGAAAACUGAAGUGUUCUCUCUAUCCAACUUUUUGCUGAUUUUAAGUUAUGCGUAUAUCAUUAUACUGCUGGUAUCAAAGAGAAAACACUUUCAAUAACCAAUCUAAUUUGGCUAAUCUCUAUAAAAGUGAUGUGAAUAUUUUACAAGAUUAUUUCAGAAGCAAAAGAAGAGUGAACAUGUAAACAAAUGGGUAUGCAAUUUUCUCUCUUGCAUAAGACUGCUUGAAUUCCAUGAGCUGCCUCAUGCUAGUUCCAGCAAAAGGGCAGUGCUCAGACACCAGGCUCAACGUACUCUGACAAAGCUGUCAGGAUAAUAAUAUAUAGCUGGCCGGCUAAUAGAUUUUUAUAAUGCCCUUCAAAAAGCUUACAGACACCAUUUUGUCCUCAUGUGGAAAAUGAAAUAUAUGAAAAUGAAGAAUAGUUAUGUAUGUGUGGAUCAUCCAUGAGAACAACUGUAAAGUUUAUUAUCUGAGGCUGGUGCCAUGGCUCACUAGGCUAAUCCUCCGCCUUGUGGCACUGGCACACUGGGUUCUAGUCCUGGUUGGGGUGCCGGAUUCUGUCCCGGUUGCCCCUCUUCCAGGCCAGCUCUCUGCUGUGGCCAAGGAGUGCGGUGGAGGAUGGCCCAAGUGCUUGGGCCCUGUACCCCAUGGGAGACCAGGAGAAGCACCUGGCUCCUGCCAUCAGAUCAGUGUGGUGCACGAGCCGCAGCGCACUGGCCGAGGCAGCCAUUGGAGGGUGAACCAAUGGCAAAAGGAAGACCUUUCUCUCUGUCUCUCUGUCUCACUGUCCACUUUGCCUGUCAAAAAAUAAAAAAAAAAAAGCUUUAUUAUCUGAAAUCACAAUAAGCAGAGUUUUCCUCAUUUAGACUGUUUUGCAUCAGCUUUCUUUCCCUGUUAGUGUGCUAAAUCAGUGUGCAUAUGGUAGACUUCCAAGUCUUCUCUUGUCAAAUAAAGGCUGCUUUACAUUGGCACUUUUCUACAUAGGAUUUCAGAUGUUUAAGUGUACAUUAAGGUAGUUGUGGGGAUCUGUGUGUUUGGGUCAGAAUUGGAAAGAAGUUAAUUAGUAUAGGGCAUGUAACUAAAAUGUUAGCAUCAUUGACAUUAAUAGUAUUGCUAAGUAUUGUCUUUGAGUCUUAUUGUUCCUCAUUUUAUUUUUGUUGGCUUUGGCUGCUUUGAAAAUUUACAGGAUGAAACUACAGAUUGUUGCAACUGAAGGUUUAGGUAUUGUGUAAUUCAUCAUAAAUUGUAUGUGUGUCAUCAGUACUGGUAUUUCUGUUGCUUUGUGUUUAAAUACAACCAAAUUUCACAUAAAAGAGACAACUGGCAAUAAAUGCAUAUCAGCAUAGACAGCAAUUCAAAAAGUGAGGUUGGCACCCUGAAUUUAUUGGUAAUCACUAACAAAUAUUUGUGAGAAAAAGGAAGAUCAACAUGUUUAAUUUCCAAGCAAUGAGGUCUCUGAUUGAAAAGUCCUUUGGCACCUGGCACAGAGCCACAGCAGGUAAAACUGCCACUGUGGUGCUGGAAUCGCAUAUGUGUGCUGGUGUGAGUCCCGAAUGUUCCAUUUCUCAUCCAGCUCCCUGCUAAUAUGCCUGGGAAAGCAGUGGAGGAUGGCUCAACUAUUUGGGCCCCUGCAGCCUUAUGGGUUGACUGGAAGACAUUCCUGGCUCCUGGUUUCAGACAGCCCAGCUCUGGCCACUGUGGCCAUUUAGGGAGUGAACUAGAGGAUGAAAGAUCUCUAUCUCUCCCUCUCCUUUUGUAACUUUGCCGUUCAAAUAAAUAAAUAGAUCUUUAAAAAUAAAAAGUCCAAACUUUAACAACUGCAGAUGUGAUAUUUUAUUUCAUUUAGUCAUAAUGUACAACCUUAGAACAGAAUGUUAAGACUCACUUUGAAUACUGGGUAGUACAAAAACAACAUGGGAUUCAUAGGAGGUUGCUUAGCAUAUACACACAAGGGAAUAUUGA
Oryctolagus cuniculus (rabbit) is the source of this 9065-nucleotide non-coding RNA. The record is from RefSeq and is a predicted model, not a curated record. Lineage: Eukaryota; Metazoa; Chordata; Mammalia; Lagomorpha; Leporidae.